RNAcentral lists this ribosomal RNA (550 nucleotides) under Branchiostoma japonicum (Japanese lancelet). Its description in RNAcentral is "partial 16S ribosomal RNA". It matches the Rfam family "Bacterial large subunit ribosomal RNA", at positions 1829 to 2596 of the family's 2925-position model. Lineage: Eukaryota; Metazoa; Chordata; Leptocardii; Amphioxiformes; Branchiostomatidae. The record is from RNAcentral.
CGCCUUCAGAUUCAAUAUUGGAGGUCUGGUCUGCCCAGUGUAAUUAAUUAACGGCCGCGGUAUUCUGACUGUGCAAAGGUAGCAUAAUCACUUGCCCUUUAAAUGGGGGAAUGUAUGAAUGAUUAGACGAGGUUUUUACUGUCUCUUCCUUAUAAAUUGAGAUUACAAUACUUGUGAAAAUGCGGGUAAGGUAAUAAAGGACGAGAAGACCCUGUUGAGCUUUUAAGCUAAACUAUAGUACAGGUUAAGUUAAGUAAUAAUUUACAAUUAAAACGAGUAAUUUUUUGUAGGCUUUUUGGCUGGGGUGGCAAGCAAAGAUAUUAAGCUUUGUUGUAGUAUACAUUUUGUAUUUCUAGAUAAUAUAUAUCUAUAAAUAAUUAAAUUGAUCCGUUAAAAUAGAACGAUUAAAAGAAUAAGUUACCACAGGGAUAACAGCGUAAUUCUUUUUGAGAGCUCGAAUUGACAAAGGAGUUUGCGACCUCGAUGUUGGAUCAAGAUUCCUAGCGGUGUAGCAGCUGUUACGGGUUUGCCUGUUCGGCGAUUAAUAUCU